This 358-nucleotide transfer RNA is filed under the name uncultured Microcystis sp. RNAcentral describes it as "partial 16S-23S ribosomal RNA intergenic spacer". The stretch from base 135 to 208 matches the Rfam family "tRNA". Lineage: Bacteria; Bacillati; Cyanobacteriota; Cyanophyceae; Chroococcales; Microcystaceae. The record is from RNAcentral.
AAGGGAGACCUAAUUCGGGUAGAAGACGAAAAAAUAGUAGUCGAAACCAAGAAUCAAUCCCAAAAGGUCGAAGCGAGGCAAGAUUGGCUUUCAAACUAGGUUCUGGGUUCAAACAAGACCUGAAUCAGGAACAAGGGCUAUUAGCUCAGGUGGUUAGAGCGCACCCCUGAUAAGGGUGAGGUCCCUGGUUCGAGUCCAGGAUGGCCCACCUGCACAGGUGGCAAAAACAAAGAAGCGAGGAAUCAGCACCUUAUCUUACUCAUAUAGUAAGAGAGAAUGCUGGCUCUGAGUAAAGAGUCCAGAGGAACCUUGAAAACUGCAUAGAGCUAGGUGAAAAAGCCAAAAAAGAAGACCGCAA